Molecule: ribosomal RNA, 1125 nt
Filed under: Alcaligenes faecalis
Lineage: Bacteria; Pseudomonadati; Pseudomonadota; Betaproteobacteria; Burkholderiales; Alcaligenaceae
Description: bacterial SSU rRNA
Rfam family: Bacterial small subunit ribosomal RNA
Source: RNAcentral
GGCCCAGAUUCCUACGGGAGGCAGCAGUGGGAAUUUUGGACAAUGGGGGAAACCCUGAUCCAGCCAUCCCGCGUGUAUGAUGAAGGCCUUCGGGUUGUAAAGUACUUUUGGCAGAGAAGAAAAGGUAUCCCCUAAUACGGGAUACUGCUGACGGUAUCUGCAGAAUAAGCACCGGCUAACUACGUGCCAGCAGCCGCGGUAAUACGUAGGGUGCAAGCGUUAAUCGGAAUUACUGGGCGUAAAGCGUGUGUAGGCGGUUCGGAAAGAAAGAUGUGAAAUCCCAGGGCUCAACCUUGGAACUGCAUUUUUAACUGCCGAGCUAGAGUAUGUCAGAGGGGGGUAGAAUUCCACGUGUAGCAGUGAAAUGCGUAGAUAUGUGGAGGAAUACCGAUGGCGAAGGCAGCCCCCUGGGAUAAUACUGACGCUCAGACACGAAAGCGUGGGGAGCAAACAGGAUUAGAUACCCUGGUAGUCCACGCCCUAAACGAUGUCAACUAGCUGUUGGGGCCGUUAGGCCUUAGUAGCGCAGCUAACGCGUGAAGUUGACCGCCUGGGGAGUACGGUCGCAAGAUUAAAACUCAAAGGAAUUGACGGGGACCCGCACAAGCGGUGGAUGAUGUGGAUUAAUUCGAUGCAACGCGAAAAACCUUACCUACCCUUGACAUGUCUGGAAAGCCGAAGAGAUUUGGCCGUGCUCGCAAGAGAACCGGAACACAGGUGCUGCAUGGCUGUCGUCAGCUCGUGUCGUGAGAUGUUGGGUUAAGUCCCGCAACGAGCGCAACCCUUGUCAUUAGUUGCUACGCAAGAGCACUCUAAUGAGACUGCCGGUGACAAACCGGAGGAAGGUGGGGAUGACGUCAAGUCCUCAUGGCCCUUAUGGGUAGGGCUUCACACGUCAUACAAUGGUCGGGACAGAGGGUCGCCAACCCGCGAGGGGGAGCCAAUCUCAGAAACCCGAUCGUAGUCCGGAUCGCAGUCUGCAACUCGACUGCGUGAAGUCGGAAUCGCUAGUAAUCGCGGAUCAGAAUGUCGCGGUGAAUACGUUCCCGGGUCUUGUACACACCGCCCGUCACACCAUGGGAGUGGGUUUCACCAGAAGUAGGUAGCCUAACCGCAAGGAGGGCG